RNAcentral lists this long non-coding RNA (407 nucleotides) under Bos taurus (domestic cattle). Its description in RNAcentral is "long non-coding RNA NONBTAT020482". The record is from RNAcentral. Lineage: Eukaryota; Metazoa; Chordata; Mammalia; Artiodactyla; Bovidae.
UUUAGAAAAAGAAAUGUCUCAGUUGUUUAGUAUACCAAAAGAGGUACUAUUUAUAAUAGCAUACAUUCAUUUUAGGACACAAAUGAACUUUUUACAAUUUGGUUAAGGAUUAUUAAAUUAUCCCUUAGUCCAUAUAAGUGAUAACAUACUUUUUAAAAUCUUUAUUUGAUAUUCAAGGAAAAUAUUUAUCUUCCCACUAUGUGUUGCUUCUAGUUAAAUAAUAACUGUAUGCAGAUAAUAAGAAUUACACAGAUUAAAACCUGCACACUUAAAAACAGAAUAAAAGAACAGAUAGAACUGGACACUACAAUAAUUACAUUGUGCUCUAUUGAACAAACAAUAGUACAUUAUUUGGGAGACAAGUAAGUGCUUAAAUAAGCAUUUUUGAUGUAAACCUCCAUCAUUCU